UACGUAGGGUGCAAGCGUUAAUCGGAAUUACUGGGCGUAAAGCGUGCGCAGGCGGUUUUGUAAGUUUGUCGUGAAAGCCCCGGGCUCAACCUGGGAAUUGCAUUUGAGACUGCAUAGCUAGGGUGCGGAAGAGGGAAGCGGAAUUUCCGGUGUAGCGGUGAAAUGCGUAGAUAUCGGAAGGAACACCAGUGGCGAAAGCGGCUUCCUGGUCCAGCACCGACGUUCAGGCACGAAAGCGUGGGGAGCAAACAGG
This 253-nucleotide ribosomal RNA is filed under the name uncultured bacterium. Its description in RNAcentral is "partial 16S ribosomal RNA". It matches the Rfam family "Bacterial small subunit ribosomal RNA", at positions 524 to 776 of the family's 1533-position model. The record is from RNAcentral.